AGUGGAAAUGAUUAUAUGCAAGUAGGAGAUUAUUAAAAAAAAAAAAAUCCUCAUAGGUUAUUAACAUGAUUAAUAGAACUAAGUAGGAUUUUUUUUUAAAAAUAAAAUAAAAUCCUCAUAGGUUAUUAACAUGAUUAACAAAACCAAAUAAAUGGGUUCAAAUCAUUUAUAUAGGUUAUGAGAUUCAAUAGCAUUCUUGAGUUAUUUAUUAUCACCAUUAUGUUAGCUCAACUUGCUUGCUUUUUCUACCUUAGCGCUCACAACAGCCGUCACAGUUGCAGAGAUUCUGAAGAAAAAAGGGCUGGCUAUUGAGAAGAGGAUUUUGAUGUCUACAGUUGACAUGAAGGAUGAAUCCAAGGGCUGUCUCAUUCCAAAAGCGAAGGUUGGCACUGUUAAUGCUAGUUUUUAAUAUUUGUCAUGUCAAAUUAAUCAUCCUUACUACCUUCUUCUUCUUCUUCUUUUCUUAUUUGAAGUGAUCAAAUUCAAAUACCCAUGCUUUUUUAACCAGCAUGGUUGAUUAUUUCU
Magnolia sinica is the source of this 525-nucleotide long non-coding RNA. RefSeq lists it as uncharacterized. The transcript is spliced from 2 exons. The record is from RefSeq and is a predicted model, not a curated record. NCBI's taxonomy places the organism in Eukaryota, Viridiplantae, Streptophyta, Magnoliopsida, Magnoliales, Magnoliaceae.